RNAcentral lists this ribosomal RNA (653 nucleotides) under uncultured bacterium. Its description in RNAcentral is "bacterial SSU rRNA". It matches the Rfam family "Bacterial small subunit ribosomal RNA", at positions 202 to 842 of the family's 1533-position model. The record is from RNAcentral.
AAAAGAUGGUUCUGCUAUCACUCUUGGAUGGACCUGCGGUGCAUUAGCUAGUUGGUAAGGUAACGGCUUACCAAGGCAAUGAUGCAUAGCCGAGUUGAGAGACUGAUCGGCCACAUUGGGACUGAGACACGGCCCAAACCCCUACGGGAGGCAGCAGUAGGGAAUCUUCCACAAUGGACGCAAGUCUGAUGGAGCAACGCCGCGUGAGUGAAGAAGGGUUUCGGCUCGUAAAGCUCUGUUGGUAGUGAAGAAAGAUAGAGGUAGUAACUGGCCUUUAUUUGACGGUAAUUACCUAGAAAGUCACGGCUAACUACGUGCCAGCAGCCGCGGUAAUACGUAGGUGGCAAGCGUUGUCCGGAUUUAUUGGGCGUAAAGCGAGUGCAGGCGGUUCAAUAAGUCUGAUGUGAAAGCCUUCGGCUCAACCGGAGAAUUGCAUCAGAAACUGUUGAACUUGAGUGCAGAAGAGGAGAGUGGAACUCCAUGUGUAGCGGUGGAAUGCGUAGAUAUAUGGAAGAACACCAGUGGCGAAGGCGGCUCUCUGGUCUGCAACUGACGCUGAGGCUCGAAAGCAUGGGUAGCGAACAGGAUUAGAUACCCUGGUAGUCCAUGCCGUAAACGAUGAGUGCUAAGUGUUGGGAGGUUUCCGCCUCUCA